GGUAGUAUUAUAAUAAAAAACCAAUUAAUACUGGCGGUCUUAUAUAUUUAGAGAAACUCGCUCUUUAAUCGAAAAUACCCGCUAAUUUUAACUUAAAUUCCAGUCUAUAUACCGCCGUUUAUCAGAGCCAAUUUAACAACUAAGACCCACAACUUACAAUUAACAAAAAUCAGGUCAAGGUGUAGCCAAUAUUUAAGUAAGAGUAAGUUACAAUAAACCAAAUUUAAGGACGUCACCCUAAAGUAAACCAGAAAAAGAAUCUAUGAGUACGCGAAAAUCAAAAUCUUUCCCUGAAACUCACCCUUAAGACGC
RNAcentral lists this ribosomal RNA (312 nucleotides) under Spermophora senoculata. Its description in RNAcentral is "partial 12S ribosomal RNA". Lineage: Eukaryota; Metazoa; Arthropoda; Arachnida; Araneae; Pholcidae. The record is from RNAcentral.